GCCCGGGUGGCGGAAUUGGCAGACGCGCAGCGUUGAGGUCGCUGUGGGAGUUAAAUCCCGUGCUGGUUCGACUCCAGUCCCGGGCA
Molecule: transfer RNA, 86 nt
Filed under: Planctomycetota bacterium
Lineage: Bacteria; Pseudomonadati; Planctomycetota
Also listed under: 2 other names
Description: tRNA-Leu
Rfam family: tRNA
About the family: Transfer RNA (tRNA) molecules are approximately 80 nucleotides in length. Their secondary structure includes four short double-helical elements and three loops (D, anti-codon, and T loops). Further hydrogen bonds mediate the characteristic L-shaped molecular structure. tRNAs have two regions of fundamental functional importance: the anti-codon, which is responsible for specific mRNA codon recognition, and the 3' end, to which the tRNAs corresponding amino acid is attached (by aminoacyl-tRNA synthetases). tRNAs cope with the degeneracy of the genetic code in two manners: having more than one tRNA (with a specific anti-codon) for a particular amino acid; and 'wobble' base-pairing, i.e. permitting non-standard base-pairing at the 3rd anti-codon position.
Source: RNAcentral